GAUUAUUGUUUACCGCUUGCCUUGCUUCACUCCUAAUAGCUUACUCUUUGUCAUAGCAAUUAUUAGACUUACACUCAUAUUCCGCACUUUAGCCUAAAAUUGCUAAGUAAUUAUUAAAAUUUGGAUUUGUACCUAUUCACCCCCCUCUAGGUCCAUCUCGAUCCUUUUCAACACUGCCCGGAAGAACUCUGCUGGCUCAUCCGCUCAUGUCCCUCCUGGCACGGGGUCGGAUGACUCCGAUGGACCACGUCGUCCCUUCAAACGGGUCGCCCGGCGUCCUCCUCAACAGCUCCACUCCUCGUCUGAUGGAUCUGACUUCGAGGAUGAGUU
Molecule: long non-coding RNA, 330 nt
Filed under: Hordeum vulgare
Lineage: Eukaryota; Viridiplantae; Streptophyta; Magnoliopsida; Poales; Poaceae
Description: long non-coding RNA (HVUL_LNC015306)
Source: RNAcentral